Molecule: long non-coding RNA, 1314 nt
Organism: Nicotiana attenuata
Lineage: Eukaryota; Viridiplantae; Streptophyta; Magnoliopsida; Solanales; Solanaceae
Exons: 2
Source: RefSeq, a predicted model, not a curated record
UAAUUAGUCAAGUGUAUUAUAUUGUUGUAUUUGAUUGAUCUAAACCUUUUUGGCCAGUUUUAAAGCUCUUUAUAUAUUCGUCUAUCAAUGGCAAUUUUAAAGCUCUUUAGAUAUCCAUUGCUUAGUUUGGAAUAGUUCUAUGAACCAUGUUCACAACUCUUCACUUCACAGAGUGUGAAUGGAGCAUUCACUUUCAUUCAAGUGAUGAAGGUUAUAACAUAAUUCAGGCCAGGCUCUUUGUCUUUGAUUAGAUUGGUCACCUUUAUUUUGUUAUCAGUUUAAUCCAAUUUGUUAAAGAAUAAAAAUUUGUGUCAAAAGCUAAUCUGGUUUAUAGCUCAUAUGUUAUACAUUAAAAUAUUGUUGUUCUUGUAUUAUGCUAUUAUUAUCAUUUGAACAUAUGAUUGGCAUGGAGGUCCGUUUAGGAACAUCAAUGUUGGUAUUAUUACCUAUAUAUUCAUGCCGUGAAAUAAAGUUUCAUGUAGCUAGAUAUUGAAUCAGCACAUGCUAUCUUUUCCUGUUCUUUGUUAUUGCUCUUCACCUAACAAUUUUUCAUAUAAUUUUCUCGAAAUAUACUUUAAGUUUAUAUUUCAUGUACAUGUUUUAUCUGAAAGUGGAAAUGGUGGAUUGAUUUACCAUCUUCGCAUAUUUGGUAGGGACUAAUUCACUUGGCCACUUGGUUAGUGCUUGAUAGUUUGGUUUGUUCUACUUUUAGUUCAAUACAUGAAACGCAUGAGGAUGAUAGGAUUCAUGUGUAUUUAUAAAUGGAAUGUCAAAAAUAGCAUUCACAUAUAUAUGCUAUCUUUUAACAUAUAUAAUGUACUAUGAACGUGCUGGUGUGAUGACUACUUUUGAUUUCUUUUUUUUUUUUUUGUUUGCAGAUUGAAACUACCAAGCAGAACUAAGAGCAAAAUUUACUUUCCAUGAUUGCAGAAGACUAAGCUCCUCCUCCAUCACUUAAAUCGUUUUCCUUACCCAGCUCAACCAGUUCAAGCAAGGCAUUUGUAAAGACCAAGUAACAAUCAAAGCAUAGAAUUUGGACAAAGAUGUAUGAGGGAGUUGAAUCACUUAUUUACAUGUUCUUUUCUAUGGUAUCUUAGUCAUGCAGUUAUAAUAGCUACUACUAGCAGAAGAUGUUUCAGCAACCAAGUCAUAAACAAGUAGUGCCUUUUGACCGUCAUUUUGUAUGGUUAUCUUCGUGGAUGUAAUUUCAAUGAUAUUCAUUGUUCCUGAAUGCACAUACUGAAUAUAUAUGCUUCAAGUAGUAGGUAGUCUUUUAUGUUUGUUACUAUUUACUAAGGAUGGAACUUUUGCUUA